GCGUUCUUUUGGGCGCCAUCAGCGGUGCAGCCAGUGAUCACUCCCAGGCUCUGAGAAACUAGAGAUGUCAGCCACAAACCCUCCGUUCAGGGAAAGUUUGCGGCGCCGUGACGGAUCGACUGGCACUGGGUGCAACAUUGUCUUGUGGCCUAGAGACUAGAAUAUAAAAACAAAAACCAAAUACAAAACUGCUGCUGGCAUUACUCCUACUCUCCCCCCUCAAGUCAGUGGCUUCAGGCUUAAGAAAACCUGUAUUUUUCUUGGCUGUGCCAUAAUCCGUAAUUACCGAGGCCCCCAGCGACCCACCCAGUGUGAUUCGCAGAGGGAAAGGAGCUGGAAUAAGGACCGUGAAUGGGGCGGAUGUGGCUCGUCCUGGGAGAGAGCUAAAGCUUAUGCUGGUCGCAAACAGCAUUACAUUGCAGGAAACUGCUCUUCCAAUGGCCGUGGCUGGGUCCUUCCACACCAUCCCUCUGCCCUAGACCUUUGUCCCCGUUCAGAGCCAUCAGAGAUUCUAGGAGAGCUGUCGACAACCGCAUCUCUUCGGAACUUGGAAACUCUAGGUUCAAGAUCUCCGUGGAGAAUGAAAGGCACAGUCGCCUGACCCGGGCAUCAGGCUUGCCCCGCACAUCAAGUCCCUCCCCUACUGGAUGGAACUCUGUGGCAAUCGCUCCUUAUUCUGAUGGUUCACUCUGUCAGAUAUCCUCGAUAUUUGGGGAUAGUAGUUCAAAAACAGCCGGGGAGGAAAAUGGGCUGAAAGAUUCCAGCGUUGGAUGUAGAAUUGACAGCGAGACAUACACCUCCUCUCUAAGCCCAGAGAAAAGCUCAAGUUGUGGUUCUCUGUCUCUAGCAGCAUGAUCUUCAAAAUGCAUCAUUGAUUUCUAUCUUCUGGGAAAUGCAAUGCAGGUGAACUUGUAAGUGCUCAAAUCCUCCAUCUCCUCACUUUUCAGACUGAGGCCUUUUUUUUUUUAAAUCUGAGAAGAAAUAUGGGACUGCCACUGCUCAGUAGGAAAAUGUCCUUUCCCACAAGCAUUUAUAUUUUAAUAAAAAUCUGCACUUUGUGAGUUGAGCCCCCUCAAAGAGACCUACAAACCCUGCCACAAAUAUCUCCAACCACACUCAUCAUUUCCGAUUUUCAUCACUGCUGCUCCUGUGCAAACCAAACUAUCCUUUCCCUGGGGCAUCCUAGGUAGAGGCCAUGCCAGGACAAAGGCAGAGAUAUGCCUGCCUGGUAAGGAAAUCCAUUUUGGCCUUGUAAUUCUCACCCUCUCCCAAGAUGUUUGCCUCAAUAUCUCCUUCCCACCUUACCCCGUCUUCAGCUAGCCAAAACAUUCCCUGGUAUUUGAGGCCCUUCCAAUUUCCUCCUGGUUUUGUGGGUGGGAGAAUAAAGAAAAAACUGCACUGUUCCCACCCACAUAGUUACAGCCACUUUAUCAAACGGAAGAGCAGUCUGGAGCCAUUGCAAAACAAAAUACCUGCCACAACUCCUCUCUUCUCAUUUCGACUCCAGCUUUUCAUCUUAGCAAAAAAGUUGCAAUCAGCACCCCCUAGACGGAAGGAAUAUCCUGUCUUAAUGGGAGUCCAUAGGAGGCUGCAGGCUGCUCCCCUACAGAGACUAACAUCAAGGUAGUUGCAGAAUUCAGAUUCUAAUUACAGUGUGGUUGGAGGCGGGGUGGAUUCCAGGGAGGUCAGGAAGAGGUAAAGUACAGAAUUGAGCUCCUUGGGAGGAGGUCAUAGGAACUUUGCAGUAUGAAAAUGGCUAGAGAUUGGGUAGAAUUGAGCAGGCUGGCAAUGGCAGUUUUGUGUGGGUGGUAGGACCUAGGAUUCAAACUUGAGGGCAAAUUGUGGAGCACAUACGACAAAUGAUGUAGAGCCUUUCCUAUUUCCCUUCCUGCUGUGUCAUCCGAAACAAUAAAUAAUAAAGAAUUAACAAAGACUGAUAUUUUUGUUCAAUUUCAUGAAGAAAAAUCUCAUCAAACUAAGAUAACUAUAA
Molecule: long non-coding RNA, 1990 nt
Filed under: Homo sapiens (human)
Lineage: Eukaryota; Metazoa; Chordata; Mammalia; Primates; Hominidae
Source: RNAcentral